This 2216-nucleotide ribosomal RNA is filed under the name Crangonyx sp. Lake Piney Z. RNAcentral's name for it is "partial small subunit ribosomal RNA". It matches the Rfam family "Eukaryotic small subunit ribosomal RNA". The record is from RNAcentral. Lineage: Eukaryota; Metazoa; Arthropoda; Malacostraca; Amphipoda; Crangonyctidae.
UGCAUGUCUAAGUACGAGCCGUGUUCGCACGGCGAGACCGCGUACGGCUCAUUAAAUCAGUCGUGGUCCAGAUGGGCCAGUGCUUAUCCUACUUGGAUAACUGUGGUAAUUCCAGAGCUAAUAUAUGCAACUCAUACCCCGAAGGCCGCGCUCUUGCAGUGUGCGCUGGACGGGUGCUUUUAUUAGACCAAACCGCUGAGGGCGCGUUAGCCUCCUCCUAGAGGCGCGCGCCUGACUCGCAUGAUGGUGACUCUGGAUAACCUUUGACAAGCGCACGUACCACUCGUAUGAGCGGACGGCGCUGCCACUAUCGAGUGUCUGCCUUAUCAGCUAUCAACCGUUCGUUACGUGCGACCGAUGGCUUUGACGGGUAACGGGGAAUCAGGGUUCGAUUCCGGAGAGGCAGCCUGAGAGACGGCUACCACGUCCAAGGACGGCAGCAGGCGCGCAAAUUACCCAAUCCCAGCUUCUGGGGGAGGUAGUGACGAAAUCUAACGAUGCGGGCGCCCUUUCUAGGGCCCCGCAAUCGGAAUGAGCACUUUCUAAACAACCUGUUGAGAACCUACUGAAGGGCAAGUCUGGUGCCAGCAGCCGCGGUAAUUCCAGCUUCAGCAGCAUCUAUUAAAGUUGCUGCGGUUAAAAGGCUCGCAGUUGAAUGUCAGUGCCGGGCGCAGGUCAGGUGGACGCUGGGGUGUGAGAACGAACACGGCACGGGCCUCGCCUUGUCAGCUUGCUGGCCUUCCUGGCGUGGCACCGACCGUGUCUCACAAACCCCCGUCCGUGACAAGCCUCCUCGCUUGCGCACAUAUCGGAAUUGGUUUCGGAGGCGUGCGAACGGCGGCUUCUCUCACGUGCGUAACUGGCCUUCGCGCCGGCCGUACGUGGGAGUUGUGUCAGCCCCGUGCGUUCUCUUUGUGGUUUUAUGGUCACCUUGAGUAAAUCAGAGUGCUCAAAGCAGUCGUAGGGGCCUUGCGCCCUGUGAAAAGUCUUGACGGACUGACUGGUUUUGCAUGGCAUGUCGGAAGACGACGUCGCGUGCUGGCUCAGAGCUUGAUCAGUGGUAUAAGCCAGCCGCGACGUACUGAUUAAAAGGGACGGUCGAGGGCAUUGGUAUUGCGAGGCGAGAGGUGAAAUUCUAUGACCCCCGCAAGACCUCCUGAAGCGAACGCGUCUGCCAAGGACGUUUUCAUUAAUCAUGAACGAAAGUUAGAGGAUCGAAGGCGAUCAGAUACCGCCCUAGUUCUAACCCUAAACGUUGCCAACCAUCAAUCCGCGCGUAGCACCCUUCUUAACGGGCUCGGCGGGCAGCUCCUUACCCACGGGAAACCAGAGUCUCUGGGUUCCGGGGGGAGUCUGGUUGCAAAGCUGAAACUUAAAGGAAUUGACGGAAAGGCACCACCAGGCGUGGAGCCUGCGGCUUAAUUUGACUCAACACGGGCCAUCUCACCAGGCCAGCACUCUUGUACGAUUGACAGAUUGAGAGCUCUUUCUCGAUUCAGUGGAUGGUGGUGCAUGGCCGUUCUUAGUUGGUGGAGUGAUCUGUCUGGUUAAUUCCGAUAACGAACGAGACUCUCCCCUACUAACUAGUCGGUUGGAUCUUGCUCUGAGAGUCGUGUACCUGGUGACCGGAGGGGUCGGUGUUUGGGGCGGAGGCGCCGCACCAAUGGGGUUUGGGUCUUGACCUCGGUCUUGCCCUCUCCUUCUGCGGUGUGCGAGCGCGUCGCUUACAGCCUCUCACUCACGGCCAGGACCACACACUCCAAGUCCACCGCUCAUGCUUAAAUUCUUCUUAGAGGGAUUCACGGUUCUGAAGCCGUACGAAACUGAGAGCAAUAACAGGUCUGUGAUGCCCUUAGAUGCUCUGGGCCGCACGCGCGCUACAAUGCCGGGCACAGCAGGUCUUUCCCCUACUCCGACAGGAGCGGGUAACCCUCUGAAAGCCCUCGAAUACUCUCGUGUCUGACACGAACGGCGUGCUUGGGCCUGGGGCUUGCAAUUCUUUCCCACAAACGAGGAAUGCCUAGUAGCGGCGGGUCACUGAGCUCGCUGUGACUCAGUCCCUGCCCUUUGUACACACCGCCCGUCGCUACUACCGAUUGGGUGUACCAGUGAGAGCCUUGGACUGGCGUCCGCUGCCUUCGGGUUAGCGGGUCCGACUGAAAGAGGUCCAAACUGGUGCACUUAGAGGAAGUAAAAGUCGUAACAAGGUUUCCGUA